CCCUCCCUCUUUCUUCAUGCCUAACACAUGCAAGUCGAACGAGACCUUCGGGUCUAGUGGCGCACGGGUGCGUAACGCGUGGGAACCUGCCCUUAGGUUCGGAAUAACUCCCCGAAAGGGGUGCUAAUACCGGAUAAUGUCUUCGGACCAAAGAUUUAUCGCCUUUGGAUGGGCCCGCGUUGGAUUAGCUAGUUGGUAGGGUAAAAGCCUACCAAGGCGACGAUCCAUAGCUGGUCUGAGAGGAUGAUCAGCCACACUGGGACUGAGACACGGCCCAGACUCCUACGGGAGGCAGCAGUGGGGAAUAUUGGACAAUGGGCGAAAGCCUGAUCCAGCAAUGCCGCGUGAGUGAUGAAGGCCUUAGGGUUGUAAAGCUCUUUUACCCGGGAUGAUAAUGACAGUACCGGGAGAAUAAGCGCCGGCUAACUCCGUG
RNAcentral lists this ribosomal RNA (433 nucleotides) under uncultured bacterium. Its description in RNAcentral is "partial 16S ribosomal RNA". It matches the Rfam family "Bacterial small subunit ribosomal RNA", at positions 36 to 507 of the family's 1533-position model. The record is from RNAcentral.